GGGCCCUUUGGGUCCAACCUCCCACCCGUGUUUAUUUACCUCGUUGCUUCGGCGGGCCCGCCUUAACUGGCCGCCGGGGGGCUCACGCCCCCGGGCCCGCGCCCGCCGAAGACACCCCCGAACUCUGCCUGAAGAUUGUCGUCUGAGUGAAAAUAUAAAUUAUUUAAAACUUUCAACAACGGAUCUCUUGGUUCCGGCAUCGAUGAAGAACGCAGCGAAAUGCGAUACGUAAUGUGAAUUGCAAAUUCAGUGAAUCAUCGAGUCUUUGAACGCACAUUGCGCCCCCUGGUAUUCCGGGGGGCAUGCCUGUCCGAGCGUCAUUGCUGCCCUCAAGCCCGGCUUGUGUGUUGGGCCCCGUCCUCCGAUUCCGGGGGACGGGCCCGAAAGGCAGCGGCGGCACCGCGUCCGGUCCUCGAGCGUAUGGGGCUUUGUCACCCGCUCUGUAGGCCCGGCCGGCGCUUGCCGAUCAACCCAAAUUUUUAUCCAGGUUGACCUCGGAUCAGGUAGGGAUACCCGCUGAACUUAAGCAUAUCAAUAAGCGGAGGAA
RNAcentral lists this ribosomal RNA (547 nucleotides) under Penicillium expansum. RNAcentral describes it as "eukaryotic LSU rRNA". The stretch from base 168 to 320 matches the Rfam family "5.8S ribosomal RNA". The record is from RNAcentral. Lineage: Eukaryota; Fungi; Ascomycota; Eurotiomycetes; Eurotiales; Aspergillaceae.